RNAcentral lists this ribosomal RNA (341 nucleotides) under uncultured bacterium. RNAcentral's name for it is "partial 16S ribosomal RNA". It matches the Rfam family "Bacterial small subunit ribosomal RNA", at positions 338 to 694 of the family's 1533-position model. The record is from RNAcentral.
CCUACGGGAGGCAGCAGUGGGGGAUAUUGCACAAUGGGGGAAACCCUGAUGCAGCGACGCCGCGUGGGCGAAGAAGUAUUUCGGUAUGUAAAGCCCUAUCAGCAGGGGAGAAGAAAUGACGGUACCUGAGUAAGAAGCACCGGCUAAAUACGUGCCAGCAGCCGCGGUAAUACGUAUGGUGCAAGCUUUAUCCGGAUUUACUGGGUGUAAAGGGAGCGCAGGCGGCACGGCAAGCCUGAUGUGAAAGCCAGCGGCGCAACCGGGGGAAUACAUUGGGAACUAACGGGCUUGAGUGCCGUAGAGGUCGGCGGAAUUCGUGGUGUAGCGGUGAAAUGCGUAGA